UGAAGCUGAUGAAGUACAGAUCACAAUG
Molecule: non-coding RNA, 28 nt
Filed under: Mus musculus (house mouse)
Lineage: Eukaryota; Metazoa; Chordata; Mammalia; Rodentia; Muridae
Source: RNAcentral